AGAGAAGCCUGAUUGUUUCCCGAUAAUUAGAACAAGUAAAUCUGCUUCAUAUUUCAGGUUUGUUUCCUGUUAUGAGGUCUAUAUAAGAUGCCUGGUGAUUCUCUCUUAAUGUAGACAGUUCUACUGUGGUUCUGCAGACGCGUUAACAGUUAUCUACAGCCUGUUUCACUGCUACUCAUGGGGUGCACAAUUCUUCCGUGUAUGGCUGCCCUGCUCUUUUUCAGUGGGGUGGUGACAGUACACGCUACAAUGACAACAGAAGAGCCAACAACAACAGCAAUAGCUACAACAACAAUUCCAACAACAGAAGAGACAACAACAGGUAAAGUUUCACUGACAGUGUGUAUGUAUAAACGUGUGAACAUUAACUCCACCCAUUAUCCCAUUCCUUCAACUUAUGAGAUCUGAUACAUUUUUAAAAGGAACCCUGACACUGAAGACUUGUUGGCCUUAACACGCAGUAAUUGCCCUCUCCUACUAAAAUAAGUUGUUAGAAGCACAUGCAAUAUGUUAAUUACUUUAAAAAUCCUUUAUAUUUAAUACAUAUUUUAACCUGCCGAGGCCACCAUUACAUGACAUGCGCAGUGCGCUCUGAGUCCAUGACGUAAAAUGUUUGAGCACUCAAAAGAAUUAGCUACUAGCCCCAGCAACAUGAAAAUAAUGCCACACUGUGCUGCUUUUGGCUGUAAUUUUCUAGGUCUUGUGUGCUGUGAUAAAGGGAAUAUCUGUAAAUAUAAUCAAACCCGGGCACACGGUGGCACACGGUGGUUAGCACGUUCGCCUCACACCUCCAGGGUUGGGGGUUCGAUUCCCACCAUGGCCCUGUGUGUGCGGAGUUUGCAUGUUCUCCCCGUGCUGCGGGGGUUCCUCCGGGUAUUCCUGUUUCCUGCCCCAGUCCCAAAACAUGCAUGGUAGGCUGAUUGUCCAAAAGUCUCCGUGGUGUAUGAAUGGGUGCGUGAGUAUGUAUGUGAUUGUGCCCUGCAAUGGAUUGGCAACCUGUCCAGGGUGUACCCCACCUUGUGCCCAAUGCUCCCUGGGAUAGGCUCCAGGUUUCACCGUGACCCUGAAAAGGAUAAGCGGUAUAGAAGAUGGAUGGAUGGAUAAUCACAUCCGUAAGCAUCUUGUUAGUGUGCAUUUUCUCAUAAAGUAAAGCUCCUGUAAAAUGAGCUUAAAACGCCUAGCCAAGGCAUUCCCAAAGUCAAAUUAAAGCUGUUCUUGAAUCAUUUGGAGUACAUGCAUGGUUUUGGUCUCUUUUCAAAGCUGGACUAAAUAUUUUGACAUAAUUGGAUUGUUUGGACCUUUGCCAGUGUAACAGGACUGUUUUUGUCAGGAUGUUAUGGAUCAGUGGAUUACUAUGAGGCUUAGGUGAGUUGCCUCCAUGUUGUAAAUGUUUGUUUGUAUGUUGGUGGUCUGACAGAGACGUUGAUUGUAGCUGCUGUUGUGAUUGUAUCUCAAAACGGUUUAUAUCAAUCGAAUCAAAAGAAUUUUAGCUUUCCAAAGAUAUGAAUAGCUUUGUACAUAGAGAAGCUGUGUAGCUAGCAUAGAUUUGCUCAUAACAUGGCGACAGCACGCUGGCGGGCCAUAAGAAUUUUAACAGGAUAAAGUAUACGACGGCGAGAUGGCUGAUAAUCUCUAAAAAUGAUUGAUAUUAGAAUACAUUUCAUCAUGAAACGAUAGUUUAAUCCCUAUGCUUACCUUGAACAACAAACGCUCUCGGUUAGCAUAGACGUGCAGUUGCUGCACAAACACCAUGGAUUUUGCCUCACUCUUGCCUCCUCACUUCUCUAAUCAUCUUCAAUUUAAUGUAUGUUUUGAGUAAUGUCUUCUAUUUUAGCCUCCCCGCUUAUGUUACGCUCAGGUUCAAAUUGAAAAGGCUGAAGACAUGUUUAUAUCGCUGUAGGGUUGCAGGAGGAUCACAACUAUUGCAACCAUUUGACGUCACUACUCAGAAUACAUUGCAAUGUAAACAGCAAUGGUGGCCUACGAGUGCAAGGAUUUCUGUUAUUUAAUAAAAACCCUGACAUCUAGAGUGUUUUUGUAAAGAGGAUUUAUAUAGCAGAUGUUAGCCUUAAUCUAAUAAACCAUACAAGUCUUCAUAGACUGGGCUCCAUUUAAAUACACAUCAGUAUAUUUUAUCAUAAUGUGCAUGUGAAUCAUUCAUUUGUAUGUGACAGUGUGGGUAUAUAUGAACAUGUGAACAUUAACUCCACCCAUUAUCCUAUUCCUUCGACGUAUAGGAUCUAAUACGUUUUUAAAUACACAUCGGCAUAUUUUAUCACAAUGUGUGUAUAUAUAAUCCUGUGAAAAUUACAUCCACCCAUUAUCCCAUUCCUUCGACGUAUUGGAUCUAAUACGUUUUUAAAUAGACAUCAGUAUAUUUU
Long non-coding RNA from Ictalurus punctatus (channel catfish), 2381 nucleotides. The record is from Ensembl. Lineage: Eukaryota; Metazoa; Chordata; Actinopteri; Siluriformes; Ictaluridae.